GAUGAACGCUGGCGGCGUGCCUAAUACAUGCAAGUCGAACGCUUUGUGGUUCAACUGAUUUGAAGAGCUUGCUCAGAUAUGACGAUGGACAUUGCAAAGAGUGGCGAACGGGUGAGUAACACGUGGGAAACCUACCUCUUAGCAGGGGAUAACAUUUGGAAACAGAUGCUAAUACCGUAUAACAAUGACAACCGCAUGGUUGUUAUUUAAAAGAUGGUUCUGCUAUCACUAAGAGAUGGUCCCGCGGUGCAUUAGCUAGUUGGUAAGGUAAUGGCUUACCAAGGCAAUGAUGCAUAGCCGAGUUGAGAGACUGAUCGGCCACAAUGGGACUGAGACACGGCCCAUACUCCUACGGGAGGCAGCAGUAGGGAAUCUUCCACAAUGGGCGAAAGCCUGAUGGAGCAACGCCGCGUGUGUGAUGAAGGGUUUCGGCUCGUAAAACACUGUUGUAAGAGAAGAAUGACAUUGAGAGUAACUGUUCAAUGUGUGACGGUAUCUUACCAGAAAGGAACGGCUAAAUACGUGCCAGCAGCCGCGGUAAUACGUAUGUUCCAAGCGUUAUCCGGAUUUAUUGGGCGUAAAGCGAGCGCAGACGGUUAUUUAAGUCUGAAGUGAAAGCCCUCAGCUCAACUGAGGAAUUGCUUUGGAAACUGGAUGACUUGAGUGCAGUAGAGGAAAGUGGAACUCCAUGUGUAGCGGUGAAAUGCGUAGAUAUAUGGAAGAACACCAGUGGCGAAGGCGGCUUUCUGGACUGUAACUGACGUUGAGGCUCGAAAGUGUGGGUAGCAAACAGGAUUAGAUACCCAGGUAGUCCACACCGUAAACGAUGAGUGCUAGGUGUUUGAGGGUUUCCGCCCUUAAGUGCCGCAGCUAACGCAUUAAGCACUCCGCCUGGGGAGUACGACCGCAAGGUUGAAACUCAAAGGAAUUGACGGGGACCCGCACAAGCGGUGGAGCAUGUGGUUUAAUUCGAAGCAACGCGAAGAACCUUACCAGGUCUUGACAUCCCUUGACAACUCCAGAGAUGGAGCGUUCCCUUCGGGGACAAGGUGACAGGUGGUGCAUGGUUGUCGUCAGCUCGUGUCGUGAGAUGUUGGGUUAAGUCCCGCAACGAGCGCAACCCUUAUUACUAGUUGCCAGCAUUCAGUUGGGCACUCUAGUGAGACUGCCGGUGACAAACCGGAGGAAGGUGGGGAUGACGUCAAAUCAUCAUGCCCCUUAUGACCUGGGCUACACACGUGCUACAAUGGCGUAUACAACGAGUUGCCAACCUGCGAGGGUGAGCCAAUCUCUUAAAGUACGUCUCAGUUCGGAUUGUAGGCUGCAACUCGCCUACAUGAAGUCGGAAUCGCUAGUAAUCGCGGAUCAGCACGCCGCGGUGAAUACGUUCCCGGGUCUUGUACACACCGCCCGUCACACCAUGAGAGUUUGUAACACCCAAAGCCGGUGGGGUAACCUUCGGGAGCCAGCCGUCUAAGGUGGGACAGAUGAUUAGGGUG
RNAcentral lists this ribosomal RNA (1499 nucleotides) under Weissella confusa. RNAcentral describes it as "bacterial SSU rRNA". It matches the Rfam family "Bacterial small subunit ribosomal RNA". Lineage: Bacteria; Bacillati; Bacillota; Bacilli; Lactobacillales; Lactobacillaceae. The record is from RNAcentral.